Molecule: long non-coding RNA, 706 nt
Filed under: Sus scrofa (pig)
Lineage: Eukaryota; Metazoa; Chordata; Mammalia; Artiodactyla; Suidae
Description: lncRNA (ENSSSCG00025074174.1)
Source: RNAcentral
AUGAAUCCGCAAUGUUUUGGGAUCAACAUCUACCUGACACAGGCAGAGAGGUCUGAGCAUGACAGCCUCCUUGGCCAACACAGGCAGCAUCCUGAGCCCGCUGGUGAGCACGGCCUCAGAGGUUUACCCUUCCCUGCCUCUCUGCAUCUCUGGAGCUGCCUGUCCCAUCACUGUCCUCCUGCCGGAGACUCUGGGGCAGCCACUGCCCAACACAGUGCAGGACCUGGAGAGAAGGUAGGCUGCCCCCUCUCCCCACCGCCCAGAGCUAUAAGGAGCUCCCAGCUUCUUGAUUCAGCCCCAUUUGCCAAAAAAAAAAAAAAAAGGCCAGACCUGGAGUUUCCAUCUCGGCUCAGUGGUAACGAACCUGACUAGUAUCCAUGAGGACGCAGGUUCGAUCCCUGGCCCCACUCAGUGGGUUAAGGAUCCGGCAUUGCUGUGGCUGUGGCAUAGGCUGGCAGCUACAGUUCUGACUGGACCCUUAGCCUUGGAACUUCCAUAUGCUGCAGGUGCGGCCCUAAAAAGACAGGGACUAACCAGUGGUCAUUCAGUUGGACUCUGGUGGAGCCAAGGCCAGAAUCAAGGCCUCCUGCCUCCUGAGGCUCCUGGUCCCGUUCUCACAGAUAAGUGGAGUCCCCCAGAAUCCUUUCUGGGACUCUCAGCUCUUGGAAACAGCGAGGGAUUUGGAAUAAAGCGGGACCGCCGAGCA